AACUUUAAACGUAGCCCUAAUCCUUACCUAACCCAAACCAAUACUAUAACCUCAAGCCUACCCUACACGAACCAUAACCCUAACCAUAACAAUAACCCUAACACUAACAGUAAGCCAUACCCUAAUCUUACCCUAAGCGGAACCCUAAACCUAAUCCUAACACUAACCUACCCCUAACCAUAAAGCUAAACAGAACACUAACUAAAACCUUAACCCUAAUCCUAAUCCUAACCAUAACCCUAACCCUAUCCCUGAACCUAACCGUAACCCGAACCCUAACCCUAACCCUAACCCUGAACAGAAUGCUAACCCUAAGCCUAACACUAACCCUAACCCUAAC
RNAcentral lists this long non-coding RNA (340 nucleotides) under Gallus gallus (chicken). Lineage: Eukaryota; Metazoa; Chordata; Aves; Galliformes; Phasianidae. The record is from RNAcentral.